CCUGAACGCCUCCCUGCGACUCCCCUGUCCCCUCUUCCUCCAUGCUAACAUCCAGAUUCCCAUCCCUCCUCUGAUCCUCUUCCAUAACCUCCCUCACAUCUGAAGAACUUCCUCCUCUAUCUGUCCCCCUUCUGCUAGCAUCAAAAGACCUUCUAGGGUCCCUUGACACUCUUUCUCUGUUUGCUCUACAUGACAUUGCCCUAGGCAAUGUAGGAGGACGGGCACUCGUGCCCUCAUCCUCAGGUGGCACUCCAGUCAAUCGUGCAGAUCGACGAGUUCCUCUCAUCCUGUUUUCUGAAAAACAGUACACAUCACAAAAACAUUAGCAUCAUAUGGUUCAUGUGGGCACACAUGAACCCUCAUCACAUAUACAUCAUUCAUAUCAUAGCAUCAAUGCACAUGUAUAUAAUCAUGGCAUUUCACAUCAUCAUACAAGACAGGACUCCACAUCCUAUCCUAGUGGACAUGAUCUUUCCUAUUGUGCUUGACCUUCUAUAACAUCUAUGAGCCCGACACUCUAGGUCCGAUCCUAAGAACCUAGGGCUCUGAUACCAUUCUGUA
RNAcentral lists this long non-coding RNA (561 nucleotides) under Manihot esculenta (cassava). Its description in RNAcentral is "long non-coding RNA (MESC_LNC012895)". Lineage: Eukaryota; Viridiplantae; Streptophyta; Magnoliopsida; Malpighiales; Euphorbiaceae. The record is from RNAcentral.